GUGCUCACUUUGGCAGCACAUAUACUAAAAUUGGAACAAUACAGAGAUUCACAGGGUCCCUGUGCCAGGAUGACACACGAAUUUGUGAAGCAUUCCAUAUUAAA
Small nuclear RNA from Otolemur garnettii (small-eared galago), 104 nucleotides. NCBI's taxonomy places the organism in Eukaryota, Metazoa, Chordata, Mammalia, Primates, Galagidae. The record is from Ensembl.